AGAUAAGCAAGCAUGAUACUGGACAGUAGAGCUCAAUAAACACUAGCUGUUGAUAUAAUAGAUAUUCAUUAAUAUCUGACAUGAUGAAGUAUGAAAUGGUAAAAGACUGAUACUAUCAGGGACCUUGAUGAGAGCAGAAUGUCAGCGGCCUGGAGCACUGGGUACGUGAGCAGGCCCGCGGUUCCGCCAUGCUUCUGGGUGGCAGUCUUUGCCUGUGCGGUGAGGAGAGAGGAGAGAAUGAAAUCCGACAUGCACCUAAUUAUACUGCUAAAUAAAGAAAUCUUUAAAGCACGCAAAAGGUACUGAAAACUAGAGGGCAUAAAGUGAUUCCAGUGUACAGGACAGACCGUAUAGAUGAAAAGUAUUUCCUUAAUGGGGAAGCUGAUAGUAACACCAGAAGAGAUACGAGAAGUAUUUAAUUAAUGGAUACCAACCACAAGCUACGAGUGCGGCCACUUGAAAGCUCUGAUUCUUGCUGAGACUCACGUGGAGGUUUCUGGACCAGCUUUUGAAGAAACCAAUGGCCCUGAAAAUAUGCUGGAAAGAAGCUUGAAACUGAAAUUCAAGGCUGACGUACAUGGGGGCUACCUACCCUCAGGUUAUCCAACUGCAAAAAUAAAUGGGAGUGAAGUACUAUGAAUUAUCCACUUUAUCUUUCUCAGUUGAGCUUUCUAGAAAAAGUACAGCCUUCAUUUUUCUGUGGGUUUGAACUGUUGCCUGGACUUAACCUGUAUAAAUGUUAAAUAAAAUAUGUUGUUUCUUCUCCCCACAA
Neofelis nebulosa (Clouded leopard) is the source of this 772-nucleotide long non-coding RNA. RefSeq lists it as uncharacterized. The record is from RefSeq and is a predicted model, not a curated record. The transcript has 4 exons. Lineage: Eukaryota; Metazoa; Chordata; Mammalia; Carnivora; Felidae.